Molecule: long non-coding RNA, 497 nt
Organism: Aedes albopictus (Asian tiger mosquito)
Lineage: Eukaryota; Metazoa; Arthropoda; Insecta; Diptera; Culicidae
Exons: 2
Source: RefSeq, a predicted model, not a curated record
CAUCCUCAAGUACUAGUCUCACAGGUUCCCCGUAUAGCCUGCUGGAACACUUUAUCACUCACAGGUUCACCGUAUAGCUUUGCGGAAACACUUUAUCACUCGCGAGGAGAGUCCAUCACAGGACUCUGAUAACGAUAUAUCCGACGCGGAAGACUUACUUCCUUGCCUAGUGGCACAUGGCACGGACCAUGGCACUAGAUCAAGAAGGGAGUUCGGUAUGUGGUAUCAGUAAUAACAGAGCACAUUGAAACCCCUUCAAGGUUGGGCAAAGAUUGCUGUAUUUCUCAAAAGGUUCGGUUUUUAUAGCUUACAAAGUUGUAAUGGUUAUCAUAUGCUUGUUCAUGGUUCAAUGUGUAAAAAAGAGAAAGAAUUAACUAGACGCCUGGGACAGAAAGCUGACAAUAUAAAUUUCGGCGAUGUACCUAUCGAACCCAAUGUUUUGGUUAUUUGACUCUUCUGAUUGUACCCUGCCCUGUGGGGCCACUACACUCGUAAUA